Molecule: long non-coding RNA, 6278 nt
Organism: Corythoichthys intestinalis (scribbled pipefish)
Lineage: Eukaryota; Metazoa; Chordata; Actinopteri; Syngnathiformes; Syngnathidae
Exons: 4
Source: RefSeq, a predicted model, not a curated record
UACAGAAAGCAGCGGUGAAGCAGUGUCGUCUGUCGUGACUCACCACACUGAUUCGUGGCAAAUGCUUCAUAACACUGAAUGAACCAUUUCGACACGUUGCUUGAUAUAUAUUUACUGCUUCAGAAAGCUAAGGUUUCUCCAUCACUAGUACGACCCUAAUUUCCAAAUGUUCCACGUGACGUUGAGACGUGUUUGAUGCACGAAUUCUUCUUUGUUUGUAUGUUUGUUUUCUUUUGAUGCACGAGUUCUUUAGAGCGUCAUCCUCCAGCCUUUGUGUCGUUGGACGUGCGUGCGUGCGUGCGUGACGUAGUCAAGCUUGUGUGUCUGUCACAGAGCGAAAGAGGCUUGCGUCGUAUUAAAUUCUCCUCUGAAGUUUAUCUGGCUGAUCUUCUAUCUGGACCUGAGAGAUGAAGAAGGCACAAUCGCUCCUUUUCCAAGCGUUGACCGUGCUUGGCAUUUGGGCUUCGCUUGGUGAGUUCACGUUUUUAUUUGACUUCAAGGUUCACUGCAAACGUUGUUGGGACUGGAUUUGUUUCUUCAGAUCAUUAGGGGAUCAAUAUAAAAGGGCAUUUUAUUGGCCCCACCUCGGGGAAAUGUAUACUUGUCAGAUUACUAGACAUAUUAAGCAAACUGUCAGUCUCAUUUGAAACAAUGGAAACAAUACAUAAUACAUCCGCGGUUUUGAGACACUUUCUGAUCCGACUGUGAACUUUUGAAAAAAGGGUGUAGUAAAGCCUAUUUAAAACUAACGACUGACUUUAAGCAUUGAUAUACCACUCAUUUAACUCACUGACCGCCACUGACUGAAAACCUGAAACAUUCACUUCGGUUUGCCUUGGAAGGCUGCAAAUGGAUUGGACGUCUAGCACCGUCAUUGGCACAGAAACGUGAGAAUCCAUAGCCAGUCCUCCCAGUUAAGAAUAAGCGCACUUCUGUUGUUGUCAGUAGUAAGCUAAACGAACCAAAAUUAUACAUUAAUACAAAUGUAUAUAUAUAACUAUUUUAAAACUAUUAAAAUUAUUAUGAAUUAAAAAAAAAUAACACUAAAUAUUACUAUUAAAUUGUAUAAUAAUAAUUUUAAUUUAAUAAUAAUAAAUUUAAUAAAUUCAUAAUAAUUUAUUUUUUAAUUUAAUUUUAUAGUAUUAUAUAAUACUAUAUUAUUAUUAGUAGUAGUAUUACUAAAUAUAAUAACACUAAAUAUAUAAUACUAAGUAUUGACUAAUGGCAGUUAAAUACUCUUGUAGUUUAGUUUUGGUUAGUUUUAGUUUUAUACUAAAGGGUCAUAGUAUUUACCUAUGAUAUAAAUAAAUAUCUACUUUUUUUAAUUCCAUUAUAAUCUUAAUGAUUUUUUAAUCAAUAAAUUAUCAAUAAACCCAAUAGAUUUGUAUUAAUGUAUAAUUGUAUUUUUUCAUAUAUAAAUAAAAUUAACAUUAAAAAAUAAAAAAUAAAUACAUAUAUGUUACAGUUCUACAUGGACUGAGGUUUUCAAUGCAACGCUUCACAUUCCAGGUGUUUUGUUUCACAUUGCGAGAUGGAUAAUUUUGUAUGUGGUGCUUGUGUGUGUGUUUUGUCAUAAUGUAUCAAACGUAGGAAGAGAAUGUCCAAAAGACAUGUGCUUCAACACAACAGAAAACUUAGCUCCAAAACCAUUGUCUGUGAUCUCAAUUGAUCUGGAUCAUGAAUACAUAUAGGUUGAGGUGCUGGAGGGGGAGGGAUAAUUUAACUUUUAAUGACCGAAGGGAAAACAAACAACAACAAAAAACCUGCAGUUGAACACAAUCUUGAUGACUUUUACAAUUGUUGUUACAAUAUGAUUAACACCCCCCACCAACACAAACCUAUAUAAAGACAAACCGAACACUUUAAAAUGCAACUUUUUUUCACCUCGACCUAUAACCUUACUCACCUUGUCUUCACUGAUGCAAAAGCAUCUAUUGCACUUUCAUAUGACAGUUGUUUUGGAAGGGCACUUCUUUCCUGGACUUGGUGGGCUUGGACUUGGUGCUGAUGUGGAUAAGUUCGCUGUAAAAUGACACAUUUCAAAGACAACCCUAUGCUGAGAGCUACAAACUCUUUUGUGAACAAGUGAUCCGUCAAAGGAUUAUCGUUGACAAAGAAGUGCUCAGAAUGGACAAGCCAAGAAGGUUGUUCGUGAACAUCGUGAAGAACCAUGAGGAUCUUGAUGCUUCAGACUACAGGCGGGAUAUGCUGAAAAGAAGAUUGAAGUGUGAUUUCCCCCAAUUAGUUUUUUAUGGGGAGAGAUUUGUCUCAAAAAUAUUCUCACAAAUGCUUUCGCGAUUCACACAUAUCUUUUGUAGAUGCACAAAUAUAUCAGAGAUUUUCACAUGUAUUUUCGAGAUCCACAAAUAUAUCCAUGAGUUUCACAUGUGUUUUUGUAAUUCACAAGUAUAUCCUCGAAAUUCACAUGUGUUUUUUUUAUGUAGUGCGUGCACUCAUCAUGAAUUAUUGUUUGUAAGCAUUCGAAUUGUAUAUGGGAAUCAGCGGCCGAGUGCAUUUAUUUUUGAGACAAACAUAACAAGAAACGGUCAAAUUUUCUCACACAAGCGCAUUCGCGAUUCACACUUGUGUUUUUCGAAUUCACAAAUACAUCCGCGAUUCUCACAAAUACAUUAGUGAUUUUCACACGUGUUUUUCAGAUCCACAAAUACGUCCGCGUUUUCCUCGUGUGUUUUUUAAAUCCACAAAUACUUCCGCAAAUGUCGCAUGUUUUUUUUAAUGAUGUGCGCGCAAUUAUCAUGACUUGACAUUUUUUAAGCAUUCAGUUUUGCUUGUGAAUUGCUGGAGCUGUGUUUUUUUUGUUUUUUUGUUUUUUUUUAAACAGCGAACACGCGCAUUUCUUUUUGAGACAAACGUCACUCGAUGUUUCACCAAGAUUUUCUCACACACAGUAAACCAAGAAUUUUCACGUGUCUCAAAUAACCUCCGCCUCAGUCCGAUAGGCGGCAGUAUUGAGCGCAUAGAAAGGUCAAAAGUGCCCAUCAACACAGAUGGCAAAUGGUGUUCUACUUAUGUAGCGCUUUUCCACCUUUCAAGGCGCUCAAAGCGCUUUACACUACAUCGCCAUCUACAUACAGGUGACGCAGCACCAGGAGCAAUGUGGGGUUCAGUAUCUUGCUCAAGGAUACUUAGGCGAGUUCAUCAGGGCAGAGAAUUGCACAACCUCUGGGUUGGGGGACAACUACUCUACCGCAGAGCCACGCCAUCCCCAUCCCCAGAUCACAUACGGACACCUAGCGGGUGACAUUACACCGGGCAACAGAUAAACAGGUGUCUUGGGUCCGUUGGAAAACCUACCCUAUUCCAUUUUUUGUUUUUAUGUGUGUUAAUAAAAAAAAAAAAAAAAAAAAAAGAGAAAUGAAUCAUCUCCCGUUUCCCAAUUAAAAACUGCUAAUUCAAUAACGGAAACGAGACUUAAUCCAUUUUACCAAUUAAUGGUUUUGAGCUGAAGUCGAAAAACAAAAUAUGUCCAAUAUUUGUUUUUAUUAACAAAAAAAAAAAAAAAACAGCACAAAUAUGCCAGGGGGUUAUAAACAUUUCAAACAUUGCACAUCAGGAAAAUAACAAAACAAAACAAAAACAAAAAAACAAUGAAUAAUGCUGUGAGCAAUUAUUCACAAAGAGAUUCAAGUUUUUCCACAAAUAUUGUUAUUUUCCGCUUUUAGAUUAUUUGAUUUUUUAAACAGAUUUAUGUAGCACACAGUCUCGUUAUGAAAGUGAGAAAAAGAAGGUAACAGCUUGCUAAAUUUACAUUUGUGUAGGUAGAAUUUCGACAAAAUGACAAGAUUAAUAAUAGAAACAAUCUCUUUCUUGAGAUUCUUAUAGAAACAAAAACAAAAAAGACAUUUUCCCAUUUGAGUUUGAAGUCCACAUGUGUAGGCUCCUGAUUCUGAACUUGCAAAGUUCUUUCCAAAAUUUAUUGGAAAAAGAGCAGGUCCAAAAAAGGUGCUGAACUGUCUCUGUAUCAAUGUCCCACUUUAAUUUUUUUCAUGUAGUGGUUUGCAGGAUAGUACUUAUCUAUAGAUAAUUUUGAAAGCGACUUCUUUGACCUUACUUGUCAACCGAAACAUAUUGGGGAUAGUCCAUACUUAGGCGUGGACCAAAUGAUAUCUCCAAAAAGACUUAACAUAUGCUUUGGAUCUAAUCUCGUUCUGAAAUAGAGAUCGAGUAUAUCUAUUCAAAUUUUUGUUAUGUAGUAAACAUAAUUUCCCCACACUUGAAUUUAGUAUAUUUGGAGGAGAUAAAGUUUGAAAUGGCAUGUUUACAUUUCUGCACAGCAUAAUGAAUCCUGAAGGAAUCGCAUCAUCAACACUAGCAUAUUGCUUAGGUCUAACUGGUAACUGAAAAUAAUCCCAAAACUCCGCGUAAAACAUAGGUGCCAUUAAAAAGUUGUGACACAAAAAGUGUCUUCUGCCUCUAAUUGUCCAAAAAUAAAGAUUUGUUUUUGCAAAGAAUUCAAUGAGCCAUGACCCGGAAGACGAGGCCUUAUUGAAGAAAAACAUCGUUUUCCGGUUCAAGGCUCAUUGUAAAAGCGAACUCGGAGGAAAACAAAUAUUGGUCGUAUUUUGUUUUUCGACUUCAGUUCAAUAAAUUGACAUUGUAAAAACGGAUUAAGGUUCGUUUUUCGUUUUUUAUUUUCCAAAAUUAGAAGGAAAAACAAACGGCCUCAAGGUACACGGACAGUCUUGAUAGUUCUUGAAGUUUGGGAAUCAUACUUUUAUAGUCUAUGCGCUCAAAACUGCCACCUAUCAGAUGAAGGCGGAGGUUAUUUGAGACACGUGAAAAUUCUCGGCUUACUGUGUGUGAGAAAAUCUUGGUGAAACAUCGAGUGACGUUUGUCUCAAAAAGAAAUGCGCGUGUUUGCUGUUAAAGAACACAGCUCCAGCAAUUCACAAGCAAAAUUGAAUACUUAAAAAAUGUCAAGUCAUGAUAAUUGCACGCACAUCAUUAAAAAACAUGCGAAACUUGCGGAAGUAUUUGUGGAUUUGAAAAACACUUGUGGAAAACGCGGACGUAUUUGUGGAUCUGAAAAACGCGUGUGAAAAUCACUCAUGUAUUUGUGAGAAUCGCGGAUGUAUUUGUGAAUUUGAAAAACACGUGUGAAUCGCCAAUGCACUUGUUCUUGUUAUGUUUGUCUCAAAAAUAAAUGCACGCGGCCGCUGAUUCACAAAUACAAUUCGAAUGUUUGCAAACAAUAAUUCAUGAUGAGUGCACGCACAACAUUAAAAAACACAUGUGAAUUUCGAGGAUAUAUUAGUGGAUUACAAAAACACAUGUGAAACUCAUGGAUAUAUUUGUGGAUCUCGAAAAUACAUGUGAAAAUCUUGGAUAUAUUUGUGCAUCGACAAAAGAUAUGUGUAAAUCGCGAAAGUAUUUGUGAGAAUAUUUUUGAGACAAAUCUCUCCCCAUAGUUUUUCACACCCCUUUCCAGCGCAACAUGUCUGAAAUGUUUUUUUUGUUUUUUUUGUUGGAGACUUUAUCAUCAACAGACAAACUUUUAGACAGGAUACCUCAGUCAUCAGGUACAUCAGCUACCGACUCUACUGAGGUAAGACAAGAAAGUGACACUGAACAAAUGGCUAGCACACCAUCUGGUUGGAAAUCCACAGAACAAAGAAGGACACUUUACAGUGCAGGGCUGCUAUUGAGGACCAUUCUAAGCGAAUCACCCUCACUGAAAUGCCCAUGGCCUCCCACAGCAGAAGAUUUAAAUGUAUGUGAAGCGAAAGCUGUUGUGCCUGUUGAACAGUACAAUCGAUUGGUGCAACAGAAGAACCAACACUAGCCGGCAAAAGGGCAAACUACGAGGCAGCAGUAAUGCGACAUUGUCUGACUGGUAUGAUGUGUGCCCCUUCACCAAUUGGCAAUGGAUGGGACAUUGAGGAUGGUGAAUUAACAGUAAAAUGGAUGACUAGAAAUCCUGCCCCAGAUAGUGUGCUACAGGUAAUCCACUGUGGUUGCAAGAUAAGCAAGUGUGAGACUGAAAGAUGUUCAUGCUUGUCUGCAAAAAUGUCCUGUACAGAUUUAUGCCACUGCCAGGACUGUGAAAAUAUUUCAAAGGAAAUGGGAUGAUGACACUGAUGAUACUGAUAUUGAUGAGUAAUCACCCACCAUCUCUCCUAUGUUUAGUUUCAUUAUCAAAAUGUUACUCUCCAUUUUAACACCUUUAAAACAACAACAAAAAAAGGCUCUUUUCCCUUUUCCAAAAAAAUAGACCUUUGUUCAAUUUGACUGCCAAAAAAGAUGGAUGUUCCAAUGAA